CCCGGCGGCAUUUAUGUUUCGAAACUUCUCCGUUUAAUUCUCUCAUUUCACCUCUAUUUCAUGCAUGAAGACAACUUUGGGAUGUCCAGCCAGAGAUGUUUUUCACAAGAGUAUAAUGACAAGUACUGAGCUAUGGAUUCAAUUUGCCUCACCACCAUCCCCAUUUUCAAGCAAGAACCAGCAAGAUCUAGAGAAUAUCAAGACCGCAUCAUCAGAAAUGUUUUUCCUUGUGUAGCAAAAAGUGCUGAGCUAUGGAUUCACUUCACCUCAAUGCCAUACCCAAUUUCUAGGAAGGAUCAAUUCAUAUUGUGAACUUAUAGAGGAUCAAUAUUGGAGACAAACAGGCAACAGAGCUUAAGACAGCGACUGGCCAGGAUGGUGCUGGCAAGCUGCGACAAUGUGUACAACUGUUGGGGGAGAAACUGGAGCCAAGCAUAUCGGGUUCUCUAAGCAUAACCAUGUACCAGUAAGAUGUUACGGGAGUCACAACCUUGAGGGGAUUUAGGUCUUUACCUGUCCCAAUCCUGGCCAUGCUGUAGAUCAUGAUCCGGUCCAUGUAUAGUUGACCAGAGGGACGCGUAAUGACGUUACGGAGUGGGAGCCGCAAGAUUGGGGCAAGAGAUGGCGUGGUAACCAAGGACAGUGCCAAAGGGAGACGUGAGAAUGACAGAGUGAGCACACAUGGUUUUAAGAUUGGAGGAGAGGGAUAUCACAGAGGUCUGGAAAAACUAUUGCUAACUAGGAUGCACCCGCAUCUAGGACACCUGCUGUAAAGGAGGCCUGGGCAAUUAUCUAAUAGUUAUGUGGCUUUCCCUCAAACUGUAUACUCUUUCAUGUCGAUUGUAAAUUAGUGUUGCUUGGUAGUAGUGUUCAGGGUCUUUUUGUCGAACAGGCACAUCUGCAUACCAGUAGUUAUGUGCAGACUUGGCUCUUUCUUUGGAGCAGUACAGUUGUAAGAUAAAUCCUGUUUGUAAUUUUAUAAAUUAGUUGCUCAUUAAGGGCUUACGAAGGUUUUGAUGCCUUGCUGGCAUAUCUGCAUACCAGUAAAUAUGUGCAGAUUCAUUUCUUGCUUUGAAGCAAUAUUGUUGCUACACUCCUAAAGCGGUGGCAAUGUUCAGGUCUUUUCAGCCUUGCGGGCAAAUCUGCAUACCAGUAAUUAUGUGCAGACUUGGCUCUUCCUGAGAUUGUAAGACUGGGACCAUAGAAUGUAACAAAAAUAAUCGAUGCCUAUUUACAAAUGAAAUGAAGAGUCUGCAUUUUGGUGCAACUCCAUAUAACUGUCCGGUGAUUUCGCUCUGAACUUGUGACACUCUGAUCGGUCUGAAAUAAUCAUUAUCCCGCCCCUCUGGGAAAAUUUUGCAGCCAGAUUGCACCAUUUCCUGUUACCGUCUGAGAGAUGGCGAUGUCAGGGGCGCAUGACGGUGGUUAAACCUAUUGCGAAUGGGCAGCACAAUUGGGUGUAGGAUAUUCGGAAACCAUUGCACACUCCUGAAUCUGCGGUGGGUUGGUACCCCACGCUACGUAAGGAGUAGGUUGACGGGUAAAACUUGGUCCACGUGAAUGGGUCGUGCCUUAAAAAUGAUGAGAAGUUGCGAAUUGACGCCCUGUGAAGUGUCCCUCGACCAGCUAGUGCUAAUCCGGUCACUGUCUCCAGGUCACCACGCCUCGGUCAAUGAGCGGGCGAAGCACCCAAUGGCUCCGUCAGGAGUACAUCGUCAACUUCAGCCCGUAGUCAAACCGGUACACGCACAAAUAUCUUAGUUGAGAGUGGGGGACAUCAGUAAAUGCUUCUCAUCGGGGUAAUACAGUACCACUGUAUACAAUGACCCCAUUUUUUGUUGGAUAAUCAUUUCCGCUGAGGAGUGGUCGAUAAUGAGAAUUUCAGGCCAGUCUGAUUAUCACCAGUACAGAGGGCAAUUAUCUAAUAGUUAUGUGGCUUUCCCUCAAACUGUAUACUCUUUCAUGUCAAUUGUAAAUUAGUGUUGCUUGGUAGUAGUGUUCAGGGUCUUUUUGUCGAACAGGCACAUCUGCAUACCAGUAGUUAUGUGCAGACUUUGCUCUUUCUUUGGAGCAGUACAGUUGUAAGAUAAAUCCUGUUUGUAAUUUUAUAAAUUAGUUGCUCAUUAAGGGCUUACGAAAGUUUUGAUGCCUUGCUGGCAUAUCUGCAUACCAGUAAAUAUGUGCAGAUUCAUUUCUUGCUUUGAAGCAAUAUUGUUGCUACACUCCUAAAGCGGUGGCAAUGUUCAGGUCUUUUCAGCCUCGCGGGCAAAUCUGCAUAGCAGUAAUUAUGUGCAGACUUGGCUCUUCCUGACAUUGUAGGACUGGGUCCAUUGAAUGUAACAAAAAUAAUCGAUGCCUAUUUACAAAUGAAAUGAAGAGUCUGCAUUUUGGUGCAACUCCAUAUAACUGUCAGGUGAUUUCGCUCUGAACUUGUGACACAACUCCAUAUAACUGUCAGGUGAUUUCGCUCUGAACUUGUGACACUUUGAUCGGUCUGAAAUAAUCAUUAUCUCGCCCCUCUGGGAAAAAUUUGCAGCCAGAUUGCACCAUUUCUGGUUACCGUCUGAGAGAUGGCGAUGUCAAGGGCGCAUGACGGUCAGGUGAUUUCGCUCUGAACUUGUGACACUCUGAUCGGUAGAAAUCAAUGAUGGGCAGAAAGAACCACUCCCUGUGUUUGUCUUUGACUUAAGAUCCUAAUCACUCUAGGAAUUUCUGUUAUUCUUUUUACCACGAGCAGGCCCAUUUAGGCCUACA
Lineus longissimus is the source of this 2754-nucleotide long non-coding RNA. RefSeq lists it as uncharacterized. The transcript is spliced from 7 exons. The record is from RefSeq and is a predicted model, not a curated record. NCBI's taxonomy places the organism in Eukaryota, Metazoa, Nemertea, Pilidiophora, Heteronemertea, Lineidae.